UACGAAGGGGGCUAGCGUUGUUCGGAAUCACUGGGCGUAAAGGGCGCGUAGGCGGCUUUAUAAGUCGGGGGUGAAAGCCUGUGGCUCAACCGGGGAGUGCGGCUGCGAACUGGGUUUCUUGAGGACGAUAGAGGAGAGUGGAAUUCCUGGUGUAGCGGUGAAAUGCGUAGAUAUCAGGAGGAACACCCGAGGCGAAGGCGGCUCUCUGGGUCGUACCUGACGCUGAGGCGCGAAAGCGUGGGGAGCGAACGGG
This 253-nucleotide ribosomal RNA is filed under the name uncultured bacterium. RNAcentral's name for it is "partial 16S ribosomal RNA". It matches the Rfam family "Bacterial small subunit ribosomal RNA", at positions 524 to 776 of the family's 1533-position model. The record is from RNAcentral.